This 776-nucleotide ribosomal RNA is filed under the name uncultured Neocallimastigales. RNAcentral's name for it is "partial large subunit ribosomal RNA". It matches the Rfam family "Eukaryotic large subunit ribosomal RNA", at positions 18 to 634 of the family's 3401-position model. The record is from RNAcentral. Lineage: Eukaryota; Fungi; Neocallimastigomycota; Neocallimastigomycetes; Neocallimastigales.
UCAGACGAUGCGUCAUGCAUAUCAAUAAGCGGAGGAAAAGAAACUAACAAGGAUUCCCUUAGUAACGGCGAGUGAAGCGGGAAGAGCUCAAAUUUGAAAUCUUCAAGGUUUUACCUUGACGAAUUGUAGUUUAAAGAAGUGUUUUCUGCUGAAGUUUUGGUAAAAGUUCUUUGGAAUAGGACAUCAUAGAGGGUGAGAAUCCCGUAUUUGACCAUUAUUUUCAGCUGUGUGAUACACUUUCAAAGAGUCAGGAUUGUUUGGGAAUGCAGUCCUAAAUUGGGUGGUAAAUCUCAUCUAAAGCUAAAUAUUGGCGAGAGACCGAUAGCGAACAAGUACCGUGAGGGAAAGAUGAAAAGAACUUUGAAAGGAGAGUUAAACAGUACGUGAAAUUGUCAAAAGGGAAGCGUUUGACACCAGUGUUGUUUUCUCGAAAAUCAAUUAAAAAGAGUUAGAUUUUGUUGUGUAUUGACCUUAACAGCUUGCAUUUCAAUUUUCUUGCUUUUUUUAAUGCACUUUUCGUUUAACAAGUCAACAUCAGUUUCUUUUGUUGUAAAAAGGUCAUUGGAAGGUGGCUUUCUUUCGGAGAAAGUGUUUAUAGCCUUUGACUCCUGCAAUCGAAGAGACUGAGGUCUGCAGCGUAGACUCCUUCGGGGUUAGAUACAUUUGUGCUAAGUUAUAGCUUUUUAUAGACAACUUGUUGACUAUGAUUAGUCUUGUAGCUUACUCGCUUAUGCUAUUUUACCUACGCUUAGGAUGUUGAGUCGUAGAGCACGCAG